RNAcentral lists this ribosomal RNA (759 nucleotides) under uncultured Enterobacter sp. RNAcentral's name for it is "bacterial SSU rRNA". It matches the Rfam family "Bacterial small subunit ribosomal RNA", at positions 28 to 776 of the family's 1533-position model. The record is from RNAcentral. Lineage: Bacteria; Pseudomonadati; Pseudomonadota; Gammaproteobacteria; Enterobacterales; Enterobacteriaceae.
AUUGAACGCUGGCGGCAGGCCUAACACAUGCAAGUCGAACGGUAACAGGAAGCAGCUUGCUGCUUCGCUGACGAGUGGCGGACGGGUGAGUAAUGUCUGGGAAACUGCCUGAUGGAGGGGGAUAACUACUGGAAACGGUAGCUAAUACCGCAUAACGUCGCAAGACCAAAGAGGGGGACCUUCGGGCCUCUUGCCAUCGGAUGUGCCCAGAUGGGAUUAGCUAGUAGGUGGGGUAACGGCUCACCUAGGCGACGAUCCCUAGCUGGUCUGAGAGGAUGACCAGCCACACUGGAACUGAGACACGGUCCAGACUCCUACGGGAGGCAGCAGUGGGGAAUAUUGCACAAUGGGCGCAAGCCUGAUGCAGCCAUGCCGCGUGUAUGAAGAAGGCCUUCGGGUUGUAAAGUACUUUCAGCGGGGAGGAAGGCGAUAAGGUUAAUAACCUUGUCGAUUGACGUUACCCGCAGAAGAAGCACCGGCUAACUCCGUGCCAGCAGCCGCGGUAAUACGGAGGGUGCAAGCGUUAAUCGGAAUUACUGGGCGUAAAGCGCACGCAGGCGGUCUGUCAAGUCGGAUGUGAAAUCCCCGGGCUCAACCUGGGAACUGCAUUCGAAACUGGCAGGCUAGAGUCUUGUAGAGGGGGGUAGAAUUCCAGGUGUAGCGGUGAAAUGCGUAGAGAUCUGGAGGAAUACCGGUGGCGAAGGCGGCCCCCUGGACAAAGACUGACGCUCAGGUGCGAAAGCGUGGGGAGCAAACAGG